AAUGGCCCCUGCACAAGGAUGACACACAAAGUCGUGAAGCGUUCCAUGUUCUU
Molecule: small nuclear RNA, 53 nt
Filed under: Octodon degus (degu)
Lineage: Eukaryota; Metazoa; Chordata; Mammalia; Rodentia; Octodontidae
Source: RNAcentral